GACGAACGCUGGCGGCGUGGAUUAGGCAUGCAAGUCGGACGGUAGGGCUUUAUCGUAAGAUAGAGUUUGAGAGUGGCGAACGGGUGAGUAACACGUAGGAAUCUACCCUUAAGACGGGGACAACCCAGGGAAACUUGGGCUAAUACCGGAUGAGAGUGCGAGAGAUUGCAUUUAAAAGGAUGGCGAAAGUUGUCGCUUAGGGAUGAGCCUGCGGUCUAUUAGUUAGUUGGUGAGGUAAGAGCUCACCAAGGCGAUGAUAGAUAGGCGGCCUUAACGGGUGGUCGCCCACACUGGGAUUGAGAUACGGCCCAGACUCCUACGGGAGGCAGCAGUCGAGAAUAGUCUACAAUGGCCGGAAGGCUGAUAGUGCGACGCCGCGUGAACGAGGGAGCCUUCGGGUGUAAAGUUCUUUUCUAUACGAGCAGUGCUAUAUAUAUGGAUAGUAUAUAUAGAGGGAUAGUAGUAUAGGAAUAAGCAACGGCUAACUCCGUGCCAGCAGCCGAC
Molecule: ribosomal RNA, 504 nt
Filed under: uncultured bacterium
Lineage: Bacteria
Description: bacterial SSU rRNA
Rfam family: Bacterial small subunit ribosomal RNA
Source: RNAcentral